UAUUCUCAUGUAUAAAUAGAUGUAGUAUCUUUAUAAAUAAGACAGUAUACAUAUAUACAAUCUUUUUCUAUCAUCACUUGUAUUUUUUCUGCUAAUAUGGUAUCAGAGCCUUAAGGCUUUUAUUCUUAGUUUCUGGGGUCUCUCUUCUCUCUCUACAACCUGUUCUGGUUCAUUCUUUCAUUCCUAUUAUUAUACCACUUUUUCUCCUCAUCUUGUUAUCAA
RNAcentral lists this unclassified non-coding RNA (222 nucleotides) under Hevea brasiliensis (rubber tree). Lineage: Eukaryota; Viridiplantae; Streptophyta; Magnoliopsida; Malpighiales; Euphorbiaceae. The record is from RNAcentral.